GGUGAACCGAAAAAGACUCAGGGAGAACUCAGGACAUAUAAACAAGAACCAAACAAAGGGAACUAAUGAGAUGAUUAAUUAACACAGGUGGAAACUAAUGAACUAAUCAGGGAACAACAGAAAACUAGGUCAAGGCAGAUGAACAGAAACACAGGGAAAUCUAAACAGCGACAGAACAUAAACGUGACACUCUACUGACAUGACCACAAACUUAAAGUAAAAAAAGUUAGCAUGGAAGAGGAUGUGUCUUGGCUUCGACGGAGGAAAAAGCAAGCUGUAAGAGUUUGACUGAGACACAGCUGAAGCUGGAUACAGGCCACAAAGAGAUACACUGCAGAGCAGAACAAGAGCAACGUCAAUGACACUCUAUGCAAACCAGAACACAUCCCAUAAUAUCAGACAGCUUGACUCAAGCUUGUGCAGUAGCAGCAGCAAUACUGUAGUACCGACAUGUUUAGUAGGCAGCUCAAAGGUUACAUCCCAAUUUGCAUACUAUAUACUACAUUGUAGUAAUGUGUUCUAAACAUUAGUAAAUUAAAAACAGCAUGAUGGAUUUUGGAAAUAUGCAUCCAUUUAUGCUUUAUGAGUAAAUGAUUCACACAAACCGUGGCAUUCCUGAGGAGGAGGAGUUCAUGACUCAAGGUUUCAGUGUUAGAAAAAUGCAGUUAUUUUAAGUUAUUUUAAACGCAUGAAUGUAAAACAUUAAGUAAUCAUGGAUUAAUUAGGUCAUUUAUUACGUUUAUUACAAAUAUUUGAUGCAGUUUUAUGAAUCAUUUUCCAAAAUAACACUAAUGUUGAAAAAGUUUAGAUUCACAUAAACAUUUUUAUGAUUUUGAAAAAAAAAAAACUGAUUCCAUUUAUUAGAGUAGAUAUUUAUGUAUGUUUUAAAAAACAUUUUUAUUGGUCAUGACUUCUUUCAAAAACUAUAAAAACUCUUACCGACCCCAAACUUUCAUACAGUAGUUGUUGCUCGCUCUAAUCUCCAUGAAAAACUGCAUGCUUCCAGUGUGCAGGAAGCCAUUAGUCUUGAGGCCGUAAAUUAAAUUAAAGCUCAUAAAUUAAAUUAAUAUCUUGUAGAAGUAUGUAAAUUGGGAUCCAGCCAAAAACUUAGAUCCAGAACAAUGCACAUUCUUUCAUCCCAUGAAAGUAACAGCAGAGAUUGUGAUAUAUGAAAGUUUUCAGGACACUUUUUUUUUUUUUCUGUUUGUGAGGAGUAUUCAUGCAGUAUCUGUGAGAAGUGAGCUGUGCUGAGCCUUGAUCUUGCUGUAUUGUCGUGUUUCUCUUCCAGAUGCAGAGGAAUGUGUUUGAGGAGAUGAAGUACAUAGAACUGAGGGUUGUCACUGACCACAGCGUGGUGUGUUUAAAUGCUGUUUGAAUAUAAUACCCCUUUAUGUGAAAGUAUCUUCGGCCUUCUGAUUUUCUUUGUGAAAAAGAUGUACACUUUGGCAUACUUUUAAAAAGAACGCCU
Molecule: long non-coding RNA, 1468 nt
Organism: Cyprinus carpio carpio
Lineage: Eukaryota; Metazoa; Chordata; Actinopteri; Cypriniformes; Cyprinidae
Source: Ensembl